RNAcentral lists this ribosomal RNA (229 nucleotides) under uncultured bacterium. RNAcentral describes it as "partial 16S ribosomal RNA". It matches the Rfam family "Bacterial small subunit ribosomal RNA", at positions 568 to 796 of the family's 1533-position model. The record is from RNAcentral.
UGCGUAGGCAGGAGAUUAAGUCAGUGGUGAAAUCCUGCAGCUUAACUGUAGAACUGCCAUUGAUACUGGUUUCCUUGAGUAUAGUUGAAGUGGGCGGAAUGUAUAUUGUAGCGGUGAAAUGCUUAGAUAUUACACAGAACACCUAUUGCGAAGGCAGCUCACUAAACUAAUACUGACGCUGAGGCACGAAAGCGUGGGGAGCAAACAGGAUUAGAUACCCUGGUAGUCC